UACGUAGGGUGCAAGCGUUAAUCGGAAUUACUGGGCGUAAAGCGUGCGCAGGCGGUUGAGUAAGUUAGAUGUGAAAUCCCCGGGCUCAACCUGGGAACUGCAUUUAAAACUGCUCGGCUAGAGUGUGUCAGAGGGGGGUAGAAUUCCACGUGUAGCAGUGAAAUGCGUAGAGAUGUGGAGGAAUACCAAUGGCGAAGGCAACCCCCUGGGAUAACACUGACGCUCAUGUACGAAAGCGUGGGGAGCAAACAGG
This 253-nucleotide ribosomal RNA is filed under the name uncultured bacterium. RNAcentral describes it as "partial 16S ribosomal RNA". It matches the Rfam family "Bacterial small subunit ribosomal RNA", at positions 524 to 776 of the family's 1533-position model. The record is from RNAcentral.